UAUGCCUAGGGGCACAGCAGUGGGGAAUAUUGCACAAUGGGGGAAACCCUGAUGCAGCGACGCCGCGUGGGUGAAGGAGCGUUUCGGCGCGUAAAGCCCUGUCAGCGGGGAAGAAGAAAGACGGUACCCGACCAAGAAGCCCCGGCUAACUACGUGCCAGCAGCCGCGGUAAUACGUAGGGGGCGAGCGUUAUCCGGAAUUACUGGGUGUAAAGGGAGCGUAGACGGCGAGGUAAGCCUGAAGUGGAAGCCCGCGGCCCAACCGCGGAACUGCUUUGGGAACUGUUUUGCUGGAGUAUGUGUGGG
RNAcentral lists this ribosomal RNA (305 nucleotides) under uncultured bacterium. RNAcentral describes it as "bacterial SSU rRNA". It matches the Rfam family "Bacterial small subunit ribosomal RNA", at positions 334 to 656 of the family's 1533-position model. The record is from RNAcentral.